CUCCUCAGGUGAUCAUCGAUGACUCAGACGAAGACGAGGUCUCUUAUGUGAAAUCAAAGCCGACAAGGAGCACCCCUGUGACAUCACGUGGGCGGAGCUCGCAAAGUCAGAGUCAGAGAGGAGUGUGCUUUGAUGAUGAUGAUGAGGAUGAGUUUGACCCCUUUAAGAGUGGCAGUAGGCGGAGCCACAGAUAACCACGCCCUCCAGCGGUUUUCCAAUUCCAACUGCUCCGUUUGAGUUCAUGAGUGUGUGUUCAUAUUCAUGUUCAGUGUGUGUGUGUGUUCAGUUUGAGUGUGAGUGUAUGUUCAGUGUGAGUGUGUGUGUGUUCAGUG
Long non-coding RNA from Clupea harengus (Atlantic herring), 332 nucleotides. RefSeq lists it as uncharacterized. Lineage: Eukaryota; Metazoa; Chordata; Actinopteri; Clupeiformes; Clupeidae. The transcript has 3 exons. The record is from RefSeq and is a predicted model, not a curated record.